RNAcentral lists this ribosomal RNA (492 nucleotides) under uncultured bacterium. RNAcentral's name for it is "partial 16S ribosomal RNA". It matches the Rfam family "Bacterial small subunit ribosomal RNA", at positions 29 to 507 of the family's 1533-position model. The record is from RNAcentral.
AGUGAACGCUGGCGGUAGGCCUAACACAUGCAAGUCGAACGGCAGCACAGUAAGAGCUUGCUCUUACGGGUGGCGAGUGGCGGACGGGUGAGGAAUACAUCGGAAUCUACUUUUUCGUGGGGGAUAACGUAGGGAAACUUACGCUAAUACCGCAUACGACCUACGGGUGAAAGCAGGGGAUCUUCGGACCUUGCGCGAUUGAAUGAGCCGAUGUCGGAUUAGCUAGUUGGCGGGGUAAAGGCCCACCAAGGCGACGAUCCGUAGCUGGUCUGAGAGGAUGUUCAGCCACACUGGAACUGAGACACGGUCCAGACUCCUACGGGAGGCAGCAGUGGGGAAUAUUGGACAAUGGGCGCAAGCCUGAUCCAGCCAUACCGCGUGGGUGAAGAAGGCCUUCGGGUUGUAAAGCCCUUUUGUUGGGAAAGAAAAGCAGCAGGUUAAUACCACGCUGUUCUGACGGUACCCAAAGAAUAAGCACCGGCUAACUUCGUG